Molecule: ribosomal RNA, 442 nt
Filed under: uncultured bacterium
Lineage: Bacteria
Description: partial 16S ribosomal RNA
Rfam family: Bacterial small subunit ribosomal RNA
Source: RNAcentral
CCUACGGGAGACAGCAGUAGGGAAUCUUUCACAAUGGGCGAAAGCCUGAUGGAGCAACGCCGCGUGCAGGAUGAAGGCCUUCGGGUUGUAAACUGCUUUUAUAAGCGAGAAAUAUGAUGGUAACUUAUGAAUAAGGAUCGGCUAACUCCGUGCCAGCAGCCGCGGUCAUACGUAGGAUCCGAGCAUUAUCCGGAGUGACUGGGUGUAAAGAGUUGCGUAGGUGGCAUAAUAAGUAGCUAGUGAAAUCUGGUGGCUCAACCAUUCAGACUAUUAGCUAAACUGUUAAGCUCGAGACCGUUAGGGGUAACUGGAAUUUCUAGUGUAGGAGUGAAAUCCGUAGAUAUUAGAAGGAACACCAAUAGCGUAGGCAGGUUGCUGGGACGGUUCUGACACUAAGGCACGAAAGCGUAGGGAGCAAACGGGAUUAGAUACCCCAGUAGUC